This 90-nucleotide transfer RNA is filed under the name Metschnikowia bicuspidata. It matches the Rfam family "tRNA". Rfam says of the family: Transfer RNA (tRNA) molecules are approximately 80 nucleotides in length. Lineage: Eukaryota; Fungi; Ascomycota; Pichiomycetes; Serinales; Metschnikowiaceae. The record is from Rfam by way of RNAcentral.
GAUGUGGUGGCCGAGUGGUUAAGGCGUGAGGUGCAGGUUCAGCAUCUCCUCAUGAGUUCUCUCUCGCAGGUUCGAAUCCUGUCCACGUCG